This 253-nucleotide ribosomal RNA is filed under the name uncultured bacterium. RNAcentral describes it as "partial 16S ribosomal RNA". It matches the Rfam family "Bacterial small subunit ribosomal RNA", at positions 524 to 776 of the family's 1533-position model. The record is from RNAcentral.
UACGUAGGGUGCGAGCGUUAAUCGGAAUGACUGGGCGUAAAGGGUGUGUAGGCGGUUUGUUAAGUCGGAUGUGAAAUCCCCGGGCUCAACCUGGGAACUGCGUUGGAAACUGGCAAACUAGAGUACGUAAGAGGGGGGUGGAAUUCCACGUGUAGCAGUGAAAUGCGUAGAGAUGUGGAGGAACACCGAUGGCGAAGGCAACCCCCUGGGACGAUACUGACGCUGAGGCACGAAAGCGUGGGGAGCAAACAGG